Hibiscus syriacus is the source of this 107-nucleotide small nucleolar RNA. The record is from RefSeq and is a predicted model, not a curated record. Lineage: Eukaryota; Viridiplantae; Streptophyta; Magnoliopsida; Malvales; Malvaceae.
AAUCCAUGCAUAGGACACUUCCAUAGUAAAUCUUUAAAUCUUUCCAACACUUCAUACAAACUUUCAUCUUUCAACUACUUGAAUGAAGCUAAAUCAUUUUGAAGCUU